GACCUAAGUCUGUGAACACAGACAGCAGGGAGAAGAGCCCAUUUUCUGGGUGAACAGUUCUGCUUGGACUGCUCGAUUCAGAAGCCCUAGUUUACUCACUCUGGGCAUUUCUUGGCCGAGAGUGCUGAAGUACAUGGUUACUCCAGGACAGUAACACAGCGUCCAUAAGUGACACUAACUCCAUCUCCUUUUUCAAACCAGUGCCUCCCUCAGCCCUACAGGUAGGCCAGCUGGCCUUGUUUCACAUAAAGCAGAAUCCGAAAGAUUCUUAUGAGUAACAGCAACUCUGGAUGGACUGAGCCAGUUAGCUUACAAAUUGAUAAGUUAAAUGCUUGACUGGCAUAAACAAGCUGGAUAUACCACAUCUCUAGGGCUUUCCUUGGGCAGGGAGGGAACUUUGGGCGGGAUGUAUGAAUGUCUUUUUAGGACAGAGCCUUGCUAUUGACUUUGAGUGGCAAUCCAAAGGAAGCAGGGAGUUGCCAUGCUUAAGAGGAACCUUCAAGAUAUUGAGAGAUGUUCAUUGAUAAGCUGGA
RNAcentral lists this long non-coding RNA (533 nucleotides) under Bos taurus (domestic cattle). RNAcentral describes it as "long non-coding RNA NONBTAT017882". The record is from RNAcentral. Lineage: Eukaryota; Metazoa; Chordata; Mammalia; Artiodactyla; Bovidae.